GAUGAACGCUGGCGGCGUGCCUAAUACAUGCAAGUCGAGCGAACAGACGAGGAGCUUGCUCCUCUGACGUUAGCGGCGGACGGGUGAGUAACACGUGGAUAACCUACCUAUAAGACUGGGAUAACUUCGGGAAACCGGAGCUAAUACCGGAUAAUAUAUUGAACCGCAUGGUUCAAUAGUGAAAGACGGUUUUGCUGUCACUUAUAGAUGGAUCCGCGCCGCAUUAGCUAGUUGGUAAGGUAACGGCUUACCAAGGCAACGAUGCGUAGCCGACCUGAGAGGGUGAUCGGCCACGCUGGAACUGAGACACGGUCCAGACUCCUACGGGAGGCAGCAGUAGGGAAUCUUCCGCAAUGGGCGAAAGCCUGACGGAGCAACGCCGCGUGAGUGAUGAAGGUCUUCGGAUCGUAAAACUCUGUUAUUAGGGAAGAACAAAUGUGUAAGUAACUAUGCACGUCUUGACGGUACCUAAUCAGAAAGCCACGGCUAACUACGUG
This 497-nucleotide ribosomal RNA is filed under the name uncultured bacterium. RNAcentral's name for it is "partial 16S ribosomal RNA". It matches the Rfam family "Bacterial small subunit ribosomal RNA", at positions 28 to 507 of the family's 1533-position model. The record is from RNAcentral.